CCUACGGGUGGCAGCAGUGAGGAAUAUUGGUCAAUGGGCUUACGCCUGAACCAGCCAAGUCGCGUGAGGGAAGACUGCCCUAUGGGUUGUAAACCUCUUUUGUCAGGGAGCAACGCCUGCUACGUGUAGCCUGCCUGAGAGUACCUGCAGACAAAGCAUCGGCUAACUCCGUGCCAGCAGCCGCGGUAAUAAGGAGGAUGCGAGCGUUAUCCGGAUUUAUUGGGUUUAAAGGAUGCGUAGGCGGAAUGCCAAGUCAGCGGUAAAAUCGCGGGGCUCAACCUCGCUCCGCCGUUGAAACUGGCGUUCUGGAGUGGGCGAGAAGUAUGCGGAAUGCGUGGUGUAGCGGUGAAAUGCAUAGAUAUCACGCAGAACUUCGAUUGCGAAGGCAGCAUACCGGCGCACAACUGACGCUGAAGCACGAAAGCGUGGGUAUCGAACAGGAUUAGAUACCCGGGUAGUC
RNAcentral lists this ribosomal RNA (460 nucleotides) under uncultured bacterium. Its description in RNAcentral is "partial 16S ribosomal RNA". It matches the Rfam family "Bacterial small subunit ribosomal RNA", at positions 338 to 795 of the family's 1533-position model. The record is from RNAcentral.